Molecule: ribosomal RNA, 438 nt
Filed under: Roseateles sp. R-45571
Lineage: Bacteria; Pseudomonadati; Pseudomonadota; Betaproteobacteria; Burkholderiales; Sphaerotilaceae
Description: bacterial SSU rRNA
Rfam family: Bacterial small subunit ribosomal RNA
Source: RNAcentral
GGCUCAGAUUGAACGCUGGCGGCAUGCCUUACACAUGCAAGUCGAACGGUAACGCGGGGCAACCUGGCGACGAGUGGCGAACGGGUGAGUAAUAUAUCGGAACGUGCCCAGUUGUGGGGGAUAACUGCUCGAAAGAGCAGCUAAUACCGCAUACGACCUGAGGGUGAAAGCGGGGGAUCGCAAGACCUCGCGCAAUUGGAGCGGCCGAUAUCAGAUUAGGUAGUUGGUGGGGUAAAGGCCUACCAAGCCGACGAUCUGUAGCUGGUCUGAGAGGACGACCAGCCACACUGGGACUGAGACACGGCCCAGACUCCUACGGGAGGCAGCAGUGGGGAAUUUUGGACAAUGGGGGCAACCCUGAUCCAGCCAUGCCGCGUGCGGGAAGAAGGCCUUCGGGUUGUAAACCGCUUUUGUCAGGGAAGAAAAGACUCCUACUAA